UACGUAGGGGGCAAGCGUUGUCCGGAUUUAUUGGGCGUAAAGAGCGUGUGGGCGGCUAGGUAGGUCCGUUGUGAAAACUCGAGGCUCAACCUCGAGACGUCGAUGGAAACCAUCUAGCUAGAGUCCGGAAGAGGAGAGUGGAAUUCCUGGUGUAGCGGUGAAAUGCGCAGAUAUCAGGAAGAACACCCGUGGCGAAGGCGGCUCUCUGGUACGUGACUGACGCUGAGACGCGAAAGCGUGGGGAGCGAACAGG
RNAcentral lists this ribosomal RNA (253 nucleotides) under uncultured bacterium. RNAcentral describes it as "partial 16S ribosomal RNA". It matches the Rfam family "Bacterial small subunit ribosomal RNA", at positions 524 to 776 of the family's 1533-position model. The record is from RNAcentral.